Molecule: small nuclear RNA, 164 nt
Organism: Gorilla gorilla gorilla (western lowland gorilla)
Lineage: Eukaryota; Metazoa; Chordata; Mammalia; Primates; Hominidae
Gene: U1
Rfam family: U1 spliceosomal RNA
About the family: U1 is a small nuclear RNA (snRNA) component of the spliceosome (involved in pre-mRNA splicing). Its 5' end forms complementary base pairs with the 5' splice junction, thus defining the 5' donor site of an intron.
Source: Ensembl
AUACUUACCUGGCAGAGGAGAUACCAUGAUCACGAAGGUGGUUUCCCCAGGGUGAGGCUUAUCCAUUGCACUCCCGAUGUGCUGACCCCUGUGAUUCCCCCAAAUGUGGGAGACUUGACUGCAUAAUUUGUGGUAAUGGGGGACUGCAUUUACACUUUUCCCUG